CCGCGCCCUCACCCCGGCCCUGCCCCCUCCCGGCCCGCCCCCCGGAGCCGGUCAGCCGAGAGGACCCCGGGGCGGAGGGCGGGGACCCGCGGGCGGGGGCCGGCUCCUGUUGCUUCCGCUCCCCGCAGCGGGGGCCUGGGUGGUGGGGACUGUGCGCCCGGAGCUGGGUCUGGCCGGAAGAGUCAAUCUCCCCCCAAGGCCGGAGGGCGGGUGUGAGAUCGGGGCAGUAGAGGAAGGGGCUUGGGGCGGGAAUGAGGGGUCGGGUCGGGCAGAAGACUAGCUAAACCGGGCCUUUGUCUCCGGGGUGCUCGCUGUUCCCCUGCGUGGCCCCUCCUGCCUGGCAGGUGAGGCGGGGCCAGCCCGUGGGGCUCCCCAGACUGUCGCAGCUCCUCAGCGUUGGAGCGAAGGCGGCUGAUAGAAUGCCAAGUCUAAACCUAUGAAACAGACCAGUUAAGACUACACUAAAGUAACAGUUCCAGAAAUGACCCAUUUCUGGGCCAGCAGAACAGGAGGUGGAAAGAUGGCAGAGCUUCUGCCGGGUGACAGCUCACGGGAAGGGGAGAGUCCUGGGCUCUGAGAGACGCUGGGGCAGCGGUGUUUUCUCUGCCUGCUUGUGGAGAUUAAGAAAGUGAGCCCAUGUGCAGAGCUCUUCAGCCGGAACUCAAGUGCCCUGCGCACACCCUGCUGCAGUCGGAACCAGACGUGACUUCAGGCUUCGGAGAUAAAAAUAAAUUCUCUUUGCCCCCCACCUGGUAAAAUUAGAAACUUAAUUAAAAUGUCAUCAGGUGCAGCCACAAAUUCCAUGUACCCGGUUUGAAAUGUUAUUAAUAAUAAUGUUCGCACUU
Bos taurus (domestic cattle) is the source of this 845-nucleotide long non-coding RNA. The record is from Ensembl. NCBI's taxonomy places the organism in Eukaryota, Metazoa, Chordata, Mammalia, Artiodactyla, Bovidae.